CCUACGGGUGACAGCAGUGAGGAAUAUUGGUCAAUGGACGAGAGUCUGAACCAGCCAAGUAGCGUGAAGGAUGACUGCCCUAUGGGUUGUAAACUUCUUUUAUAUGGGAAUAAAAUGUUCCACGUGUGGGAUUUUGUAUGUACCAUAUGAAUAAGGAUCGGCUAACUCCGUGCCAGCAGCCGCGGUAAUACGGAGGAUCCGAGCGUUAUACGGAUUUAUUGGGUUUAAAGGGAGCGUAGGUGGAUUGUUAAGUCAGUUGUGAAAGUUUGCGACUCAACCGUAAAAUUGCAGUUGAAACUGGCAGUCUUGAGUACAGUAGAGGUGGGCGGAAUUCGUGGUGUAGCGGUGAAAUGCUUAGAUAUCACGAAGAACUCCGAUUGCGAAGGCAGUUCACUGGACUGCAACUGACACUGAGGCUCGAAAGUGUGGGUAUCAAACAGGAUUAGAUACCCCUGUAGUC
Molecule: ribosomal RNA, 460 nt
Filed under: uncultured bacterium
Lineage: Bacteria
Description: partial 16S ribosomal RNA
Rfam family: Bacterial small subunit ribosomal RNA
Source: RNAcentral